This 103-nucleotide small nucleolar RNA is filed under the name Sorghum bicolor (sorghum). RNAcentral describes it as "snoRNA snoZ118". It matches the Rfam family "Small nucleolar RNA Z118/Z121/Z120". From Rfam's summary of the family: This family consists of several snoRNA Z118, Z121 and Z120 sequences which are members of the C/D class of snoRNA which contain the C (UGAUGA) and D (CUGA) box motifs. This family seems to be found exclusively in rice. Lineage: Eukaryota; Viridiplantae; Streptophyta; Magnoliopsida; Poales; Poaceae. The record is from Rfam by way of RNAcentral.
GUUUUGCUAUGAUGACGCCUAUUAGGACGGUAUCUUAAGGGUGUGGCUUUUAAGUGCAGCUCUUGUGAUUAUACCAAAACUGAAUAUGGUUUCUGAGCAAAUU